Molecule: transfer RNA, 82 nt
Organism: Cuculus canorus (common cuckoo)
Lineage: Eukaryota; Metazoa; Chordata; Aves; Cuculiformes; Cuculidae
Rfam family: tRNA
About the family: Transfer RNA (tRNA) molecules are approximately 80 nucleotides in length.
Source: Rfam
GCUGUGAUGGCCGAGAGGUGAAGGCGUUGGACUCGAAAUCCAAUAGGUUUUCCCUGCGCAGGUUCGAAUUCUGCUCACAGUG